Molecule: ribosomal RNA, 1718 nt
Filed under: Staphylococcus aureus
Lineage: Bacteria; Bacillati; Bacillota; Bacilli; Caryophanales; Staphylococcaceae
Description: partial 23S ribosomal RNA
Rfam family: Bacterial large subunit ribosomal RNA
Source: RNAcentral
AACCAGUACCGUGAGGGAAAGGUGAAAAGCACCCCGGAAGGGGAGUGAAAUAGAACCUGAAACCGUGUGCUUACAAGUAGUCAGAGCCCGUUAAUGGGUGAUGGCGUGCCUUUUGUAGAAUGAACCGGCGAGUUACGAUUUGAUGCAAGGUUAAGCAGUAAAUGUGGAGCCGUAGCGAAAGCGAGUCUGAAUAGGGCGUUUAGUAUUUGGUCGUAGACCCGAAACCAGGUGAUCUACCCUUGGUCAGGUUGAAGUUCAGGUAACACUGAAUGGAGGACCGAACCGACUUACGUUGAAAAGUGAGCGGAUGAACUGAGGGUAGCGGAGAAAUUCCAAUCGAACCUGGAGAUAGCUGGUUCUCUCCGAAAUAGCUUUAGGGCUAGCCUCAAGUGAUGAUUAUUGGAGGUAGAGCACUGUUUGGACGAGGGGCCCCUCUCGGGUUACCGAAUUCAGACAAACUCCGAAUGCCAAUUAAUUUAACUUGGGAGUCAGAACAUGGGUGAUAAGGUCCGUGUUCGAAAGGGAAACAGCCCAGACCACCAGCUAAGGUCCCAAAAUAUAUGUUAAGUGGAAAAGGAUGUGGCGUUGCCCAGACAACUAGGAUGUUGGCUUAGAAGCAGCCAUCAUUUAAAGAGUGCGUAAUAGCUCACUAGUCGAGUGACACUGCGCCGAAAAUGUACCGGGGCUAAACAUAUUACCGAAGCUGUGGAUUGUCCUUUGGACAAUGGUAGGAGAGCGUUCUAAGGGCGUUGAAGCAUGAUCGUAAGGACAUGUGGAGCGCUUAGAAGUGAGAAUGCCGGUGUGAGUAGCGAAAGACGGGUGAGAAUCCCGUCCACCGAUUGACUAAGGUUUCCAGAGGAAGGCUCGUCCGCUCUGGGUUAGUCGGGUCCUAAGCUGAGGCCGACAGGCGUAGGCGAUGGAUAACAGGUUGAUAUUCCUGUACCACCUAUAAUCGUUUUAAUCGAUGGGGGGACGCAGUAGGAUAGGCGAAGCGUGCGAUUGGAUUGCACGUCUAAGCAGUAAGGCUGAGUAUUAGGCAAAUCCGGUACUCGUUAAGGCUGAGCUGUGAUGGGGAGAAGACAUUGUGUCUUCGAGUCGUUGAUUUCACACUGCCGAGAAAAGCCUCUAGAUAGAAAAUAGGUGCCCGUACCGCAAACCGACACAGGUAGUCAAGAUGAGAAUUCUAAGGUGAGCGAGCGAACUCUCGUUAAGGAACUCGGCAAAAUGACCCCGUAACUUCGGGAGAAGGGGUGCUCUUUAGGGUUAACGCCCAGAAGAGCCGCAGUGAAUAGGCCCAAGCGACUGUUUAUCAAAAACACAGGUCUCUGCUAAACCGUAAGGUGAUGUAUAGGGGCUGACGCCUGCCCGGUGCUGGAAGGUUAAGAGGAGUGGUUAGCUUCUGCGAAGCUACGAAUCGAAGCCCCAGUAAACGGCGGCCGUAACUAUAACGGUCCUAAGGUAGCGAAAUUCCUUGUCGGGUAAGUUCCGACCCGCACGAAAGGCGUAACGAUUUGGGCACUGUCUCAACGAGAGACUCGGUGAAAUCAUAGUACCUGUGAAGAUGCAGGUUACCCGCGACAGGACGGAAAGACCCCGUGGAGCUUUACUGUAGCCUGAUAUUGAAAUUCGGCACAGCUUGUACAGGAUAGGUAGGAGCCUUUGAAACGUGAGCGCUAGCUUACGUGGAGGCGCUGGUGGGAUACUACCCUAGCUGUGUU